Molecule: transfer RNA, 85 nt
Filed under: Alphaproteobacteria bacterium
Lineage: Bacteria; Pseudomonadati; Pseudomonadota; Alphaproteobacteria
Also listed under: 3 other names
Description: tRNA-Tyr
Rfam family: tRNA
About the family: Transfer RNA (tRNA) molecules are approximately 80 nucleotides in length. Their secondary structure includes four short double-helical elements and three loops (D, anti-codon, and T loops).
Source: RNAcentral
GGAGGGGUUGGGGAGCGGUCAAACCCAGCAGACUGUAAAUCUGCCGCCUCGUGCUUCGCAGGUUCGAAUCCUGCCCCCUCCACCA